GCAUUGGUGGUUCAGUAUUAGAAUUCUCACCUUCCAUGAAGGAGAUCCAGGUUCAAUUCCUGGCCAACACA
This 71-nucleotide transfer RNA is filed under the name Loxodonta africana (African savanna elephant). It matches the Rfam family "tRNA". From Rfam's summary of the family: Transfer RNA (tRNA) molecules are approximately 80 nucleotides in length. Their secondary structure includes four short double-helical elements and three loops (D, anti-codon, and T loops). Lineage: Eukaryota; Metazoa; Chordata; Mammalia; Proboscidea; Elephantidae. The record is from Rfam by way of RNAcentral.